Molecule: ribosomal RNA, 473 nt
Filed under: uncultured bacterium
Lineage: Bacteria
Description: bacterial SSU rRNA
Rfam family: Bacterial small subunit ribosomal RNA
Source: RNAcentral
UGGGGAAUCUUGGACAAUGGGCGCAAGCCUGAUCCAGCCAUGCCGCGUGAGUGAAGAAGGCCUUCGGGUUGUAAAGCUCUUUUCAGACGGAAAGAAACGGUUACGGCUAAUACCCGUGACUAAUGACGGUACCGUAAGAAGAAGCACCGGCUAACUACGUGCCAGCAGCCGCGGUAAUACGUAGGGUGCGAGCGUUAAUCGGAAUUACUGGGCGUAAAGCGUGCGCAGGCGGUUUGGUAAGACAGAUGUGAAAUCCCCGGGCUUAACCUGGGAACUGCAUUUGUGACUGCCAGACUAGAGUGUAGCAGAGGGGGGUAGAAUUCCACGUGUAGCAGUGAAAUGCGUAGAUAUGUGGAGGAAUACCGAUGGCGAAGGCAGCCCCCUGGGCUAACACUGACGCUCAUGCACGAAAGCGUGGGGAGCAAACAGGAUUAGAUACCCAUGUAGUCCCUGAGCGGGCUGGCAAGGCGCAU